GUGAAUCAUCGAAUCUUUGAACGCACAUUGCGCCCGCCAGCAUCCUGGCGGGCAUGCCUGUUCGAGCGUCAUUACAACCCUCAGGCCCGGCCUGGUGUUGGGGUCCUGCGCCGCGCAGCCCCCGAAAGACAGCGGCGGUGCCGUCCCGGUCCCGAGCGUAGUAGCUUACCUCGCUACGGGCGCCGGGCGGUCGCCUGCCGUUAAACCCCAUCAUAUUACUGUUGACCUCGGAUCAGGUAGGAAUACCCGCUGAACUUAAGCAUAUCAAUAAGCGGAGGA
Molecule: unclassified non-coding RNA, 279 nt
Filed under: Chaetosphaeria sp.
Lineage: Eukaryota; Fungi; Ascomycota; Sordariomycetes; Chaetosphaeriales; Chaetosphaeriaceae
Description: partial contains 5.8S ribosomal RNA, internal transcribed spacer 2, and large subunit ribosomal RNA
Rfam family: 5.8S ribosomal RNA (bases 1-71)
Source: RNAcentral